RNAcentral lists this ribosomal RNA (468 nucleotides) under uncultured bacterium. RNAcentral describes it as "partial 16S ribosomal RNA". It matches the Rfam family "Bacterial small subunit ribosomal RNA", at positions 28 to 507 of the family's 1533-position model. The record is from RNAcentral.
GACGAACGCUGGCGGCGUGCUUAACACAUGCAAGUCGAACGGAAAGGCCCUGCUUUUGUGGGGUGCUCGAGUGGCGAACGGGUGAGUAACACGUGAGUAACCUGCCCUUGACUGUGGGAUAACUUCAGGAAACUGGGGCUAAUACCGGAUAGGAGCGCCUGCUGCAUGGGGGGGGUUGGAAAGUUUCGGCGGUUGGGGAUGGACUCGCGGCUUAUCAGCUUGUUGGUGGGGUAGUGGCUUACCAAGGCUUUGACGGGUAGCCGGCCUGGGAGGGUGACCGGCCACAUUGGGACUGAGAUACGGCCCAGACUCCUACGGGAGGCAGCAGUGGGGAGUAUUGCACAGUGGGCGGAAGCCUGAUGCGGCAACGCCGCGUGCGGGAUGACGGCCUUCGGGUUGUAAACCGCUUUCGCCUGUGACGAAGCGUGAGUGACGGUAAUGGGUAAAGAAGCACCGGCUAACUACGUG